RNAcentral lists this transfer RNA (73 nucleotides) under Planctomycetota bacterium. RNAcentral's name for it is "Planctomycetes bacterium (subsurface metagenome) tRNA-Asn". It matches the Rfam family "tRNA". Rfam says of the family: Transfer RNA (tRNA) molecules are approximately 80 nucleotides in length. Their secondary structure includes four short double-helical elements and three loops (D, anti-codon, and T loops). Further hydrogen bonds mediate the characteristic L-shaped molecular structure. tRNAs have two regions of fundamental functional importance: the anti-codon, which is responsible for specific mRNA codon recognition, and the 3' end, to which the tRNAs corresponding amino acid is attached (by aminoacyl-tRNA synthetases). tRNAs cope with the degeneracy of the genetic code in two manners: having more than one tRNA (with a specific anti-codon) for a particular amino acid; and 'wobble' base-pairing, i.e. permitting non-standard base-pairing at the 3rd anti-codon position. Lineage: Bacteria; Pseudomonadati; Planctomycetota. The record is from RNAcentral.
UCUCCUUUAGCUCAAUAGUCAGAGCGUCCGGUUGUUAACCGGAGGGUUCUGGGUGCAAGUCCCAGGGGGAGAU